RNAcentral lists this ribosomal RNA (3285 nucleotides) under Amphilophus citrinellus (Midas cichlid). RNAcentral's name for it is "eukaryotic LSU rRNA". The stretch from base 2534 to 3285 matches the Rfam family "Eukaryotic large subunit ribosomal RNA", at positions 2391 to 3357 of the family's 3401-position model. The record is from RNAcentral. Lineage: Eukaryota; Metazoa; Chordata; Actinopteri; Cichliformes; Cichlidae.
CCCAAGCAGCCAGGAAUCGAACUGCCUACCUUCUGAUUAGUAGGUGACCUGUUUGAUCUCCUGAGCCACAGGCACCCCUAAAUAUUGUGAUUGUGGUAAUGGGAAUUUGCUUGAAAUGCAGCAUUAUAGGUGUAACAAAAAUGAAUGACUGUUUGACACAAGUGGAAAGCUUUUAAAGUGAUAUCUUUUUCCAAUAGUGCCCAAUGCAUUUAAAAGGUAACUGGGAAGGUUCAGUGUCCUUCUUCACUUCCUAUAUGAAAGACUUUGGAGUUCACAGUUAUAUAUUUGCAGAGGAAAACCCAGAGGAUUAACCAUUUUUGACCAACAACUGUGGAUUCUUGCUCUACCUGUUUGUGCCUGAUCGAAUUUAAUCUUAAAAGGAAAUGAAUAAUUUUGUACUUUUGAUUACUCCAAGUAUAGCCUGUGUUGGAUUUUAUCUACUGGAUUACUACUUCCACAGUUGGAAUAUUCCAGGCACGGCCAGAAGGGAAUGCCAUGGGACCUAGUAUAACCUCUCUUCUCUCUCGAUUAAUCUCAAAGUUUUAGUUUUUAGAAAUCAGCAUUAGCACAGUAUAGAUUAAUUAAGUUAAAAUAAAUCUCAGUUGAUGUUAUUAUGUGAUUCUUUUUAAUUUAUUGAGCUUUUGCACCUGAGAUGACUCUUGUGAUUUGGUGCUACCCCUGUUGAAUUGGUUAAAUAAAAUUUUCUGCAUUAAAAGGAUUAAUUGUGAACAUUCCAUUUUUGACUUUUUGUGAAACAGUAAAGGAAAUCUUUUGGAAAUGUGUUAUAUCUGAUGAUUAUAUAUCUUUAAUAGUUAUUACAGGUUGCUCUAGCCCUUAAAAAUGAACAAAUCCCUGGGGCCCAUUCUUUUCCAGGGCACUAAAUUAUGACCCAGCCUAUUACUAAAACCAAGGAUCAUUGAGUAAAGGUGCGGUUAACAUAUGUGGCAAAUUUUACUUGACCUGCGAGGCUAAUCAGGCAGGGGUUUUCAUCAGGGGAAGCAGGGUAGACAGGUUAGAAAUCUCUCUCUUCAUCACUGGCUCAAUUAAAUUCUGCAUAACCUGUUGGGGAAUACCCCGUGGAAUCAGAAACACAAAUCUCUUAAAGGGAGUCCAAAGUUCCUGUAUCAGACUUCCUGUACAUGAGUGUGUGUGUGUGUGUGUGUGUGUGUGUUUUCCAUACCUGGUAUGUGUGCUGUCCAGAGGAGGCUUGUCUCUGUGUGUCCUGGUGAGCCUUGAGCAGCAGCUUCACCAAUCGUGGAAUUGCACCUGCCUCUCUCAGCGGCGCCUGAUUAGCUGGGCACAAUGCCAGAUUCCGGAUGAGACCUACUGUAGCCUGAGGACAAAAUAGACAUCAAGACUUGUCUCCAAAGGUGAUGUGGGACAGCUUUAAAAUAAACUUUGCUUCCACAUGGCAGAGCCUGUUACUGUAUGGACAUUCAGUGAGCAGUCAAGUCUCUUACAGUGCAUUCAAGUUUACUUACCAGUGUGUGAUGCUACAUAUCAAAGGAAACCACAAGGAUGAGAGAAAAAAUUAUAAGUUUUCAGCUAUUGCUCACUGCUGAAGUGGCAGCUGGGCAGGUUCUCAGCAGCCUGACAUCAAUGCAGUUUUGUUGGUUCCAUAAAAGCUUUGAAUGUCGUUUGCAAGCACUACAUGCAAGCUUACUGACAUUUCAGGGAGAAAUGCAUGCUGGGAAGGGUUUCCCCCCAAAAGAAAAUUCUAAAUUCAAGGACUUUUACAAAAGUGUUUAUGUGAAUUUUCCAAAAACUUUCCUGUUGUCAUAAUCCUGAGUCUGUGACUGAGCAUUUUGUGUUUUGGACUGUCAUAUGCUGUUAUGUAAUAUUGCUGUGAUUCUCAGUUUAUUGUGGGUUUUUGCACUUUUGUACCUUUUGUAGUAAUUCCUGGUUGGUUUCUCUAUCAUCCUCAGGCAUUCUUAGUUUAGUUAUCUGAGUUUUUUUCUUGGUUAUAGUUAAUUGUAUUUAGGGGCAGCCAUCUGCCAGUUAGGGGUGAGGGGCAGGAGACAGGACAAAAGACACUGUGAAAACAAGCCAGAGAUUAACAAUAGCUUUGUCGCUCUCUUACUUUGCUCUUCCUCUUCCUAUCCUCUUGCUCUGCUCUUCUUCUUGUCUCUACAUCUGUCUCUGUCUCUUUUUCCUCUCUUCCCUUCCCUUUUCUCUUCUUCUUUCUUCUCUCUGUGUGUGUGUGUGUGUGUGUGUGUGUGUGUGUGUGUGUGUGUGUGUGUGUGUGUGUGUGUGUGUGUGUGUAUUCUAGAUUUAGUUCUGUUACUAUCUGUGUCAUGGUUUUUGUCUGUGUUUUGUGUAACCAAUAUGUCUAAUAAACAGCUUACAUUGGAGCCUGCACAUCCCAGUGAUUUUUUUAGGGGAACUUUGGUUUUAAUUUUUGGCCAAAAGGAACAUGGAGACCCCUAAAACCAUGACCCAACAAUACCCCAAGAAAACCCACACAAACAAAGGGAGAACAUGCAAAUUCUGUACAAAAAGGUUCCAGCCAAGGUGGAUUUGACCACAGGACCUUUUUGCUGUGAGGAAACAGUGCUAACCGUUGUACCACCGUGCUGAGCUUUAAGGCAAGCUCAGGGAGGACAGAAGGCCGUGGAGCAGAAGGGCAAAAGCUUGCUUGAUCUUGAUUUUCAGUAUGAAUACAGACCGUGAAAGUGCAGCAUCAAACCUUUUUGGGUUUUAAGAAGGAAAUGUCAGAAAAGUUACCACACAGAUAACUGGCUUAUGGUGGCCAAGUGUUAAUAGGGAUAUCACUUUUUGAUCCUUCGAUGUCAGCUCUUCCUAUCAUUGUGAAGCAGAAUUCACCAAGCACUGGCUUGUUCACCUACUAAUAGGGAACGUGAGCUGGGAUUAGACCAUCGUGAGACACAUUAGUUUUACCUCACUGAUGAUGCGGUCUUGCAAUAGUAAUCCUGCUCAGUAUGAGAGGAACCAGAGGUUCAGACAUUUUGGUGUAUGUGCUUGGAUAAGGAGCCAAAGGUGCAAAAAUCACAAGUAUUUAUUUCUGUAGAACAUUGUUUAUAACACAUAGCCGAUGUUAAACCGAGGGGUCUCACUCUUUGGCACCAUGCACAUACAGUUGUGCAAUCCCAGUGCUUCUGUUUGACUUGUCCAUUUGUAUCACUUCUGAAAUUUACCCUUCUUUGACAGGACUCAGCAAUUGAUUAAGUCAUGCUUAAAUUUUGAUUUUAUUUUUGUUUAAAAAGAUUAUCAGUGCAGUUAAAUAAUUGUUUUAUGCUUCCAUGUUCAUAAAAACUAGUCACCAAU